Molecule: long non-coding RNA, 580 nt
Filed under: Pongo abelii (Sumatran orangutan)
Lineage: Eukaryota; Metazoa; Chordata; Mammalia; Primates; Hominidae
Description: lincRNA
Source: RNAcentral
GGUGGCUGUCAAUAGAUUGGCCCAAAAGGAAGAACAAGGAAAAGGGCACUAAAGAAGAUAAAUGAAAAUACAAGGGCAUAAGCUGAACUGUGGACAUCCUGCCACUGGGAAUUAAGUUAAAGUAGAAAAAAGCAGAAUGUAAUGGGGAGUCGCCUCACAAGAAGAAUUUGGAUCAAAGCAUGGCAGUGAGGGGAAGCAUUGAGCAGGAAACCAUGAGACCAAAACUUAAAAGCCAGAGCUUCCUGACUCCAAAAUCCUCUUUCUUUCCUGUUAUCCUGCUGAAGUGCCAAUUUCAAAUGAAGACUGACUUGAUCCUGAACAUAACCUACAAGAAGAAAGGGACCGCAGGCUAUACACAAAGCAUGGUGCAGGCAUCUGCUUCUGGUGAGGGCCUCAGGAAGCUUACAAUUGUGAUGGAAGGUGAAAAGGAAGCCAGUGCAUCACAUGGCAAGAGAGGGAACAAGAGAGAAGGGGACAGUGCCACACACUUUAAAAAAAAAAUCUUAUCUCAUGAGACAGAACGAACUGAGUGAGAGUUCACUCAUCCCCAAGGGAAUGGUGCUAAGUCAUUCAUGAGGGA